GGCUGAGCUUAUUGGAGAGUCUGGAAGAGGCCUUUGGAUUCUUUUCUCUAGCUUUGAGGGGCUGCUUCCCUGUUUUUACACUAAUGCUCUGCUUCAGCACAAGUGGACAACUGAAUUGAAGGAUCAACAAGAAGAGCUGCUAGUUAGGUCUUAUCAGGUGGCUUUUUUCCUGUCAAGAUGCACAUACAGCGUGCUAGUCUGACUGCAUCAUCUCUGGUGUCAUAGCAGACCAAAAGCUUGGGAUAGGGAACUGAUUGAGUACUGGACCAGAAUAGGAUCAUUCAAGUGCCAGAAGAUGCAGAACUCACUAGAAUACAGUGGAUAGAAGGUGGCGACUAUAGCCAAUUUCUUCUCUCAUUAUGUUCGCACCUCACAGUUUUUUCAGAACUGUAUAUGUAUGAU
Molecule: long non-coding RNA, 402 nt
Filed under: Phasianus colchicus (ring-necked pheasant)
Lineage: Eukaryota; Metazoa; Chordata; Aves; Galliformes; Phasianidae
Description: lncRNA (ENSPCLG00000000702.1)
Source: RNAcentral